Molecule: ribosomal RNA, 524 nt
Filed under: Lodderomyces parapsilosis
Lineage: Eukaryota; Fungi; Ascomycota; Pichiomycetes; Serinales; Debaryomycetaceae
Description: eukaryotic LSU rRNA
Rfam family: 5.8S ribosomal RNA (bases 184-337)
Source: RNAcentral
CUUCCGUAGGGUGAACCUGCGGAAGGAUCAUUACAGAAUGAAAAGUGCUUAACUGCAUUUUUUCUUACACAUGUGUUUUUCUUUUUUUGAAAACUUUGCUUUGGUAGGCCUUCUAUAUGGGGCCUGCCAGAGAUUAAACUCAACCAAAUUUUAUUUAAUGUCAACCGAUUAUUUAAUAGUCAAAACUUUCAACAACGGAUCUCUUGGUUCUCGCAUCGAUGAAGAACGCAGCGAAAUGCGAUAAGUAAUAUGAAUUGCAGAUAUUCGUGAAUCAUCGAAUCUUUGAACGCACAUUGCGCCCUUUGGUAUUCCAAAGGGCAUGCCUGUUUGAGCGUCAUUUCUCCCUCAAACCCUCGGGUUUGGUGUUGAGCGAUACGCUGGGUUUGCUUGAAAGAAAGGCGGAGUAUAAACUAAUGGAUAGGUUUUUUCCACUCAUUGGUACAAACUCCAAAACUUCUUCCAAAUUCGACCUCAAAUCAGGUAGGACUACCCGCUGAACUUAAGCAUAUCAAUAAGCGGAGGAA